RNAcentral lists this long non-coding RNA (1039 nucleotides) under Nicotiana tabacum (common tobacco). RNAcentral describes it as "long non-coding RNA (NTAB_LNC003507)". The record is from RNAcentral. Lineage: Eukaryota; Viridiplantae; Streptophyta; Magnoliopsida; Solanales; Solanaceae.
GAUUUAGGAAACUUUCCCGUCACUUUUUUGCCCAAAUUCUUGAAGCUCCAACCACUACCGCCCCACAAUACCUACAUCAAUGGAUAGAGCUCCCCAAGACCUAGCUAUUGAUGCCAAUUUUACCCUGAAAAUUCGGCGACCAAAAUCCGGCCAAAUUCCGGCGACCUCCCCGAACACCCUCUUUGGGCAUACCACCAUUUUUUCGGCCACUUGAAUUAUAAAAUGGUAAAAAUUCUAUUCUUUUUUGUGGAUGUUUUUUCUAUUUUAUUUUUAUUUUUUCAGAUUUUAUUUUUGUCUAUUAUUAAUUAUUUUAGCAUUUGUUUUUAAAGUUUGAAAUACUAAAUUUUCUGUUUUUGCUGAAGUAGUAAAAUAGUUUUGUAUCGAUAAAAGUGAGGUAGUGAAAAAUACUUAAGAGUAUAUGGUACUUGUUUGGUUGUUUAUUUACUGCUUCAAGACUCUUUGAGUACAAUACUCAAAAGUAAAAUUGUUUGGUAAGAAAAUGUAGACCUUUGGACAAUGUUUGAAUAAAAGUCUGUCUUUGAAUAGUGAAGGGCAGAUUUUGUUUGAAAUACUCUCUGUUGGACAAGAUUGAACCAAAAAAGUCUUGCUUUUGAAUUUAAGAGCAGAUUUUGUGAAAAAAUCUGUCAGAAAGAUUGAUUUUUAAUCUUGAAAUAGCUGGUUGUUUCUGGAAAAAAAAAAGAAGGAGGAGGAGGACACUCCAUCUUACUAAGGGGGCUAGACACACAAAAAGAGAAAAAAUCAGUAGCUAUAAUAUCCCUUAACAGCUUUUGUGAGUUGAUUCUUAAGUGAAAAACUUGUUUAAGGAAAAUAGAGGAGUCUUGAAAGAUUUUUCUGGAGUUACAUAAUUGUACUGUUUUGUUGGGGUAUUUUUAGUUUAUUUUCUUGGGUUUGAAUCUGCCGGUUGUCGCUGUCUUUUGCUGUUGUUGCUGCCCAUUUAAUUGUUUUGCUGUUGAUUUUUGGAAAGAGCUGACUCUGUUGUAUUUGUUCUUCUUUCUGCUGUCCAGGUAAUUUUCGGACC